UGGGGAAUAUUGCACAAUGGGCGCAAGCCUGAUGCAGCCAUGCCGCGUGUGUGAAGAAGGCCUUCGGGUUGUAAAGCACUUUCAGCGAGGAGGAAGGGUUCAGUGUUAAUAGCACUGUUCAUUGACGUUACUCGCAGAAGAAGCACCGGCUAACUCCGUGCCAGCAGCCGCGGUAAUACGGAGGGUGCAAGCGUUAAUCGGAAUUACUGGGCGUAAAGCGCACGCAGGCGGUUUGUUAAGUCAGAUGUGAAAUCCCCGCGCUUAACGUGGGAACUGCAUUUGAAACUGGCAAGCUAGAGUCUUGUAGAGGGGGGUAGAAUUCCAGGUGUAGCGGUGAAAUGCGUAGAGAUCUGGAGGAAUACCGGUGGCGAAGGCGGCCCCCUGGACAAAGACUGACGCUCAGGUGCGAAAGCGUGGGGAG
RNAcentral lists this ribosomal RNA (421 nucleotides) under uncultured bacterium. RNAcentral's name for it is "partial 16S ribosomal RNA". It matches the Rfam family "Bacterial small subunit ribosomal RNA", at positions 355 to 768 of the family's 1533-position model. The record is from RNAcentral.